RNAcentral lists this long non-coding RNA (593 nucleotides) under Olea europaea subsp. europaea. The record is from RNAcentral. Lineage: Eukaryota; Viridiplantae; Streptophyta; Magnoliopsida; Lamiales; Oleaceae.
CUAAUGUUGAUGAGUUAUUUGAUGAAUUAGUAGGUGUUGAAAUUAUUUCAAAGCUGGAUUUAAGGUCAGGAUAUCAUCAGAUAGAAAUGCAUCUUGAUGACAUCCCUAAACUGCCUUUCGUAUACAUGAGGGUUAUUAUGAGUUUUUUAGUGAUGCCUUUCGGGCUUACUAAUGCUCCUUCAACCUUUCAAGGGAUGAUGAAUGAAAAGUUUAGGCCUUAUUUGAGAAAGUUUGUGCUGGCAUUCUUUGACGAUAUUUUGAUAUACAACAAAUGAAUGCAAGAUCAUGUGGAGCAUUUCACAUGGGUUUUGGAGGUUCUAGAAGUUGAAUUUUUUUUUUGUUAAGUUGUCUAUGUGCGUUUUUAGCAGCAAGGAAGUCGAGUAGUUGGGGCACCUCAUUUCCAAGGAAGGAGUCAAAGCCGAUCCCCAAAAACUGGUUGCCAUGCAAAAAUGGCCAACUCCUAAAAAUCAUAAGGCAUUAAGAGGUUUUUUUAGGACUUACGGGGUACUACAAGAAGUUUAUAAAAGGAUAUGGAGCAAUAUCAGCACCACUUACCUAUCUUCCAAGAAAAAAUACUUUUUCUUGGAAUGAUA